GGGGAUGUGGCGGAAUUGGUAUACGCGUUCGUUUGAGGGGCGAAUGGGGCAACCCUUGAGAGUUCGAGUCUCUCCAUCCCCACCA
This 85-nucleotide transfer RNA is filed under the name Acidobacteriota bacterium. RNAcentral describes it as "tRNA-Leu". It matches the Rfam family "tRNA". Rfam says of the family: Transfer RNA (tRNA) molecules are approximately 80 nucleotides in length. Their secondary structure includes four short double-helical elements and three loops (D, anti-codon, and T loops). The record is from RNAcentral. Lineage: Bacteria; Pseudomonadati; Acidobacteriota. RNAcentral also lists the same sequence under 1 other name.